CCGCCAAUCGCUCUCCCCAAUCCCCACAGCCACCACUAGCGCCUUCCCCCAGUCUCCUCAGCCAUCUCCGUGCGCCUUCCGUCCCGCUCGCGCCGCCGCCACAAGCUGCACCGUUGCCGGGAGGAGCACUCCGUCCCCUACAGCCUGCUGGCUCAGCCGCAUCUCCCGAUGCCAAAUCCUCUCUCUCCAUCCCUUUUGGUUCUUGAUUUUGUUUUCUUUGAGAUUUCCUUUUGCUUUUCCUGAGAUUUGUUUGUUCUUGUGCUCUAUUUCAUAAUAGAUUUGUUCUGUAUUUUCGUUUUUUGAUUUUUCCGUCCGGAUACUCUUUAGUUUUUUUAUCAGAUUUAUGUUUAUCUGAGCCCCCUGCCCUGCAUCCUCGUGCCUUUUUUCCAGGGACUUUUUCCAGGGACUCACCUUCUUGGUGCUCAUCGUUAGUUUGAUGGUGGUGUACUGACGCCAGUGAGAACUAGGAGGAGGAAGAGGACACAAAGAGAGAGAUGGAGCGGCAAGACUACAAGAUCCCAGAUGCAAGUCGAGAUAAGAGAGAAGGGGCCGGUUCAGAUUAGCACUCCACAUCCUAUGGCAGUUGGCACGCUAGGACAUGGGAAAGCUCAGCUCAGCCGGUAGCCAUGAUGCACCCCCCUUCCCAAAUUUUCAAUGAGGACGAGCUUCCGGGUUCCGCAGCUUGAAUGGUGUGGAGCUCCAUCACUUUUGCUGAAUGGCUCACCAAACCAUUGUUUCUACAGCCUGUGAUGUUGAUCGAGAAGCAUAAAUGGAGACAAGUUCACCUCAUAGUGCCCUUGAAAAACUAAGAUUGCAGCUGCUGAUUCCAGUCACAAUGAUGAGUUCUCUGACCAUGCCAGCAUGGCAAAAGUGACAUUGUUUGAGGAAACAUUGCGUGAGUGAAGUGAAGUUGGAUGAGGGGAUUCGGUGUGUCAUAUGCGCCUCUGCCCUGGAGCUGGGUGGGCCACGGCUCAAUUUGGCCCUCAGUAGCUUCACCGGUGCUCCCAAACAACGUCGUGAGGACGAGCUUCCGGGUUCCGCAGCUUGAAUGGUGUGGAGCUCCAUCACUUUUGCUGAAUGGCUCACCAAACCAUUGUUUCUACAGCCUGUGAUGUUGAUCGAGAUUCCAGUCACAAUGAUGAGUUCUCUGACCAUGCCAGCAUGGCAAAAGUGACAUUGUUUGAGGAAACAUUGCGUGAGUGAAGUGAAGUUGGAUGAGGGGAUUCGGUGUGUCAUAUGCGCCUCUGCCCUGGAGCUGGGUGGGCCACGGCUCAAUUUGGCCCUCAGUAGCUUCACCGGUGCUCCCAAACAACGUCGUGAGGACGAGCUUCCGGGUUCCGCAGCUUGAAUGGUGUGGAGCUCCAUCACUUUUGCUGAAUGGCUCACCAAACCAUUGUUUCUACAGCCUGUGAUGUUGAUCGAGAUUCCAGUCACAAUGAUGAGUUCUCUGACCAUGCCAGCAUGGCAAAAGUGACAUUGUUUGAGGAAACAUUGCGUGAGUGAAGUGAAGUUGGAUGAGGGGAUUCGGUGUGUCAUAUGCGCCUCUGCCCUGGAGCUGGGUGGGCCACGGCUCAAUUUGGCCCUCAGUAGCUUCGCCGGUGCUCCCAAACAACGUCGGUGACAUCUUAAAACGGGAGCUUGACUAUCGCAUCCAUGUUGCAUCUGUACAGGUUUUCAAGAAUUUAUCCGUUUGUGUUUCUAUCAUAUUACUUGCAAUAAAUUGACACUGGGACAAGAUUUUGUAAUUCGUUUGGUUGCUUCUGUACGGCAAUCCUUAUUUUCAAGGUCAUGGGGCUCAGUGGUCAGCAUGGCCGUCGCCGUCAUCGGUUCUACUUGUCUUCAGGCCUGAAGUUUGGCUCAGAUUUGGAAACAAGACCAAAACAAUUCAUAUACAUUCGAAACUUAUGAAGAUAAAGCAUGGAAAGUAUAAGCUAUAUGUACAGAACAUUCAUUGGAGAACAUUUCCAUGCUUGUGAACAGACGGAAAGUACAAUACCUCAAGUGAGCUUCUUCUCUUCUUAAUUAAUCCAGAUCCAGGUGUGAAUCGUUGCUGAGUGCCUAGAUUUAAAUGAGUGCUCGGAUUUUUUUGCUUAUGAUAGGUGCUGGCUUUCUUUUGAAUAUUGUUGCAGAUGAAGUACUAAAAUCGAUGUAGCAUUAUCAAUUAGGUAUGGUUAGUAUAUAUAGCAGUAGCGGGUGAGAACUAAAUCUACCAUAGAGAGAAGUACUGUUUACUCUACAAAGGUCUUUUAAUCAGUGAGUUAUAUCUUUCUGACAGAUAUACACAUGAUGCACCUGUUUUUUGCUUAUGAUAGGUUCUCACUUGCUUUUGAAUAGUUGAUGCCAACCUCUUAAAUUAUGGAAGACUUUCUUCGUGGCUAUUACUACAGCUGUUAGACUCAACCCUUUCCUGUCUUGAUAGCUCAAAAUAAUUUUUAUUUCCCAUCGUUAGCAUAUGCUCUCCUCUCCUAGGCAGUAGUUUUUUCGCCAUGCCCUCAUGUAUAUUUUUGUUACAAAUUCAGCUACGCCUUUGUGUAUUUCAGAGGGUGUUGCCACUGAAGUCAGGUGUUUGCCUUUUCUCCAACCUGUACUUUUUGUUUACAUAAAUGUUUGCAUGUUCUGUUUCUAAAGGGUAUUUUUCAUGUUUUGUGUUGGUUGGGUUCUUUUCAUUUUAUCCCUUCCAUACCACAUGGUGCUCUGCUAUUCAUUUGUUGUGGUUGGUUGCUUCACAGUGUCAUUUUCCCUCCUAUUCCUACCAAUGCCCAAGGUGGGUGGUGAUGUUUCUAUCCCUGGAGGCGUUGCUGAUCUCAAGUUACAAACAUAGAUAAAUUGUUGACUCUAUUCAUGUGUCUGUAAUCUCCAUGAAAGUAUCCCCGCUCAUUGGUUUAUUUCCAUAUUGUUAGUUCUUCAUGUGUGUAUGGACAAUGUUGCCAGCAAUAUUGCAAAUAGUUUAGAUGAUAUCCCGAAUUAAGGUUCGCUUGAAAUUUUCAAUGUGCACCUCAUCUCUGUUCUUUUA
This is a non-coding RNA of Lolium perenne, 3013 nucleotides long. The record is from RefSeq and is a predicted model, not a curated record. NCBI's taxonomy places the organism in Eukaryota, Viridiplantae, Streptophyta, Magnoliopsida, Poales, Poaceae.